GUGCCAGCCGCCGCGGUAAUACGGGGGGUGCAAGCGUUGUUCGGAAUCAUUGGGCGUAAAGAGCGUGUAGGCGGCUGAAUAAGUCAGAUGUGAAAUCCCUGGGCUCAACCCAGGAAGUGCAUUUGAAACUGUUCGGCUAGAGUAGGGGAGAGGGAAGUGGAAUUCCUGGUGUAGAGGUGAAAUUCGUAGAUAUCAGGAGGAACACCGGUGGCGAAGGCGACUUCCUGGCCCUAUACUGACGCUGAGACGCGAGAGCGUGGGGAGCAAACAGGAUUAGAAACCCGUGUAGUCC
Molecule: ribosomal RNA, 292 nt
Filed under: uncultured bacterium
Lineage: Bacteria
Description: partial 16S ribosomal RNA
Rfam family: Bacterial small subunit ribosomal RNA
Source: RNAcentral